This 352-nucleotide ribosomal RNA is filed under the name uncultured bacterium. RNAcentral's name for it is "partial 16S ribosomal RNA". It matches the Rfam family "Bacterial small subunit ribosomal RNA", at positions 338 to 682 of the family's 1533-position model. The record is from RNAcentral.
CCUACGGGGGGCAGCAGUGGGGAAUAUUGCGCAAUGGGCGAAAGCCUGACGCAGCGACGCCGCGUGAGGGAUGAAGGUCUUCGGAUCGUAAACCUCUGUCAGCAUGGAAGAACGGUCACUGUGCUAAUCAGCAGUGAAUUGACGGUACCUGCAAAGGAAGCACCGGCUAACUCCGUGCCAGCAGCCGCGGUAAGACGGAGGGUGCGAGCGUUAAUCGGAAUUACGGGGCGUAAAGCGCUCGUAGGCGGUAUGUCCAGUCCAGGGUGAAAUCCCCGCGCUCAACGUGGGAACUUCCUUUGAAACUGGCAACCUGGUGUGUGUGAGAGGAUAGUGGAAUUCCAGGUGUAGUCGU